Molecule: ribosomal RNA, 253 nt
Filed under: uncultured bacterium
Lineage: Bacteria
Description: partial 16S ribosomal RNA
Rfam family: Bacterial small subunit ribosomal RNA
Source: RNAcentral
UACAGAGGGUGCAAGCGCUAAUCGGAAUUACUGGGCGUAAAGGGUGCGUAGGUGGUUGAAUAAGUUAGGUGUGAAAGUCCUGGGCUUAACCUGGGGAUUGCGCCUAAUACUGUUUAGCUAGAGUACUGUAGAGGAAGGUGGAAUUUCCAGUGUAGCGGUGAAAUGCGUAGAUAUUGGAAGGAACAUCAGUGGCGAAGGCGACUUUCUGGACAGAUACUGACACUGAGGCACGAAAGCGUGGGGAGCAAACAGG